This 459-nucleotide ribosomal RNA is filed under the name uncultured bacterium. RNAcentral's name for it is "partial 16S ribosomal RNA". It matches the Rfam family "Bacterial small subunit ribosomal RNA", at positions 338 to 795 of the family's 1533-position model. The record is from RNAcentral.
CCUACGGGAGGCAGCAGUGAGGAAUAUUGGUCAAUGGCCGCAAGGCUGAACCAGCCAAGUCGCGUGAGGGAUGACGGUCCUAUGGAUUGUAAACCUCUUUUGUCAGGGAGCAAAGGGCUCCACGUGUGGCGUUUUGCGAGUAACUUAAGAAAAAGCAUCGGCUAACUCCGUUCCCGCAGCCGCGGUAAUACGGAGGCGGCGAGCGUUUUCCGGAUUUCUUGGGUUUUACGGGUUCGUAGGCGGAAUGUCAAGUCAGCGGUAAAAUUUCGGGGCUCAACCCCGUCCUGCCGUUGAAACGGGCGUUCUUGAGUGGACGAGAAGUAUGCGGAAUGCGUGGUGUAGCGGUGAAAUGCAGAGAUAUCACGCAGAACUCCGAUUGCGAAGGCAGCAUACCGGCGCCCAACUGACGCUGAUGCACGAAAGCGUGGGUAUCGAACAGGAUUAGAUACCCGAGUAGUC